Molecule: transfer RNA, 72 nt
Filed under: Camelus bactrianus (Bactrian camel)
Lineage: Eukaryota; Metazoa; Chordata; Mammalia; Artiodactyla; Camelidae
Also listed under: 2 other names
Rfam family: tRNA
About the family: Transfer RNA (tRNA) molecules are approximately 80 nucleotides in length. Their secondary structure includes four short double-helical elements and three loops (D, anti-codon, and T loops). Further hydrogen bonds mediate the characteristic L-shaped molecular structure. tRNAs have two regions of fundamental functional importance: the anti-codon, which is responsible for specific mRNA codon recognition, and the 3' end, to which the tRNAs corresponding amino acid is attached (by aminoacyl-tRNA synthetases). tRNAs cope with the degeneracy of the genetic code in two manners: having more than one tRNA (with a specific anti-codon) for a particular amino acid; and 'wobble' base-pairing, i.e. permitting non-standard base-pairing at the 3rd anti-codon position.
Source: Rfam by way of RNAcentral
GAGGGUAAAGCUCAGUGGUAGAGUGCGUGUAUAGCAUGCACGAGGUCCUGGGUUCAACCCCAAGUGCCUCCA